UGAGGCCCCAGGUCAGGCGGGAUUACCCGCUGAAUUUAA
RNAcentral lists this ribosomal RNA (39 nucleotides) under Rinorea campoensis. RNAcentral describes it as "partial 28S ribosomal RNA". RNAcentral also lists the same sequence under 1 other name. The record is from RNAcentral. Lineage: Eukaryota; Viridiplantae; Streptophyta; Magnoliopsida; Malpighiales; Violaceae.